UUUCCGUAGGUGAACCUGCGGAAGGAUCAUUGCAUCGAUCAACACCUUUCCACGCGAACACCCGUCUCCCCGCGUCUCCUUUCGGUGGCUGCGCCCGACGACGCUUCCCGGUCAUCUUGACCGGGGAGCCGAGGAUGCAGCCCCUGGAGCGUGCGCCUGCUCCCGGUCGAUCUGGCUUCGGUCCGAUUGGCAAGGUCGGGCGGUGCCGUCCGUGGGACGAGGCUUUGUUGUUGCGAGCGGGCGACCGCUCCGACUCCAGGCCGACGACUCUCCGCGGCUCCGGCUGGGACAAACCCCACACCGAUCCUCGACUGAACACACCUGAAGCAGAGCGCUGUCUCGAUCAACCGACCGAGCAGCCUUCAAACCAAAGACAACUCUCAACAACGGAUAUCUUGGCUCCC
Molecule: unclassified non-coding RNA, 404 nt
Filed under: plant metagenome
Description: partial contains small subunit ribosomal RNA, internal transcribed spacer 1, and 5.8S ribosomal RNA
Source: RNAcentral